This 76-nucleotide transfer RNA is filed under the name Desulfofustis sp. PB-SRB1. RNAcentral's name for it is "tRNA-Gly". It matches the Rfam family "tRNA". From Rfam's summary of the family: Transfer RNA (tRNA) molecules are approximately 80 nucleotides in length. Lineage: Bacteria; Pseudomonadati; Thermodesulfobacteriota; Desulfobulbia; Desulfobulbales; Desulfocapsaceae. The record is from RNAcentral. RNAcentral also lists the same sequence under 4 other names.
GCGGGCAUAGCUCAGUUGGUAGAGCGCGAGCUUCCCAAGCUUGAGGUCGCGAGUUCGAGCCUCGUUGCCCGCUCCA